This 462-nucleotide ribosomal RNA is filed under the name uncultured Pseudomonadota bacterium. RNAcentral describes it as "bacterial SSU rRNA". It matches the Rfam family "Bacterial small subunit ribosomal RNA", at positions 355 to 809 of the family's 1533-position model. The record is from RNAcentral. Lineage: Bacteria; Pseudomonadati; Pseudomonadota.
UGGGGAAUAUUGGACAAUGGGCGCAAGCCUGAUCCAGCCAUGCCGCGUGUGUGAAGAAGGCCUUCGGGUUGUAAAGCACUUUUGUACGGGAAGAAAAGCACUCGGUUAAUACCCGGGUGUCAUGACGGUACCGUAAGAAUAAGCACCGGCUAACUUCGUGCCAGCAGCCGCGGUAAUACGAAGGGUGCAAGCGUUACUCGGAAUUACUGGGCGUAAAGCGUGCGUAGGUGGUUUGUUAAGUCUGAUGUGAAAGCCCUGGGCUCAACCUGGGAAUUGCAUUGGAUACUGGCAGUCUAGAGUGCGGUAGAGGGUAGCGGAAUUCCCGGUGUAGCAGUGAAAUGCGUAGAUAUCGGGAGGAACAUCCGUGGCGAAGGCGGCUACCUGGACCAGCACUGACACUGAGGCACGAAAGCGUGGGGAGCAAACAGGAUUAGAUACCCUGGUAGUCCACGCCCUAAACGA